UACGUAGGGUGCAAGCGUUAAUCGGAAUUACUGGGCGUAAAGCGUGCGCAGGCGGUGAUGUAAGACAGUUGUGAAAUCCCCGGGCUCAACCUGGGAACUGCAUCUGUGACUGCAUCGCUGGAGUACGGCAGAGGGGGAUGGAAUUCCGCGUGUAGCAGUGAAAUGCGUAGAUAUGCGGAGGAACACCGAUGGCGAAGGCAAUCCCCUGGGCCUGUACUGACGCUCAUGCACGAAAGCGUGGGGAGCAAACA
This 251-nucleotide ribosomal RNA is filed under the name uncultured prokaryote. Its description in RNAcentral is "partial 16S ribosomal RNA". It matches the Rfam family "Bacterial small subunit ribosomal RNA", at positions 524 to 774 of the family's 1533-position model. The record is from RNAcentral.